UAUGUGAUCGUCUCUCGCAUAUCAAUAAGCGGAGGAAAAGAAACUAACAAGGAUUCCCCUAGUAACGGCGAGUGAAGCGGGAAGAGCUCAAAUUUGAAAUCUUAAAGGGUUUCCCUUUACGAAUUGUAGUUUAAAGAAGUGUUUUCUGUCGAGGUUUUGGUAAAAGUUCUUUGGAAUAGGACAUCAUAGAGGGUGAGAAUCCCGUAUUUGACCUUUACUUUCAACUUUGUGAUACACUUUCAAAGAGUCGGAUUGUUUGGGAAUGCAGUCCAAAAUGGGUGGUAAAUUUCAUCUAAAGCUAAAUAUUGGCGAGAGACCGAUAGCGAACAAGUACCGUGAGGGAAAGAUGAAAAGAACUUUGAAAAGAGAGUUAAACAGUACGUGAAAUUGUCAAAAGGGAAGCGUUUGACACCAGUGUUGUUUUUCUGAAAAUCAAUUAAAGAACUGUUUAUGCUAAGCUGUUUAGACUUCAUCAGCUAUCUGUUUAGUUUUGAGCUUUUCUUUAAUGCACUUUUCAGUUAACAAGUCAACAUCAAUUUCUUUUGCUGUAAAAAAGCUUGAGGAAGGUGGCUUGAGAUUCGUCUUAAGUGUUUAUAGCCUCUUGCCUAUGCAGUCGGAGAGAUUGAGGUCUGCAGCGUAGAUCCUUCGGGGCUAAAUGCAUUUGUGCUAAGUUAUAGCAUUUUAUAGACAACUUGUUGACUAUGAUUUGUCUUGUAGCUUACUCGCUUAUGUUAUUUUACCUACGCUUAGGAUGUUGAAGAUAUGCGCGACACG
This 774-nucleotide ribosomal RNA is filed under the name uncultured Neocallimastigales. RNAcentral describes it as "partial large subunit ribosomal RNA". It matches the Rfam family "Eukaryotic large subunit ribosomal RNA", at positions 24 to 644 of the family's 3401-position model. The record is from RNAcentral. Lineage: Eukaryota; Fungi; Neocallimastigomycota; Neocallimastigomycetes; Neocallimastigales.